AGUCGACGGCAGCGCGGGGCACCUGGCGGCGAGUGGCGAACGGGUGAGUAAUAUAUCGGAACGUACCCUGGAGUGGGGGAUAACGUAGCGAAAGUUACGCUAAUACCGCAUACGAUCUAAGGAUGAAAGUGGGGGAUCGCAAGACCUCAUGCUCCUGGAGCGGCCGAUAUCUGAUUAGCUAGUUGGUAGGGUAAAAGCCUACCAAGGCAUCGAUCAGUAGCUGGUCUGAGAGGACGACCAGCCACACUGGAACUGAGACACGGUCCAGACUCCUACGGGAGGCAGCAGUGGGGAAUUUUGGACAAUGGGCGCAAGCCUGAUCCAGCAAUGCCGCGUGAGUGAAGAAGGCCUUCGGGUUGUAAAGCUCUUUUGUCAGGGAAGAAACGGGAGUGGCUAAUAUCUGCUCCUAAUGACGGUACCUGAAGAAUAAGCACCGGCUAACUACGUGCCAGCAGCCGCGGUAAUACGUAGGGUGCAAGCGUUAAUCGGAAUUACUGGGCGUAAAGCGUGCGCAGGCGGUUUUGUAAGACUGUCGUGAAAUCCCCGGGCUCAACCUGGGAAUGGCGAUGGUGACUGCAAGGCUUUAGUUUGGCAGAGGGGGGUAGAAUUCCACGUGUAG
Molecule: ribosomal RNA, 619 nt
Filed under: Oxalobacteraceae bacterium 2AAV
Lineage: Bacteria; Pseudomonadati; Pseudomonadota; Betaproteobacteria; Burkholderiales; Oxalobacteraceae
Description: bacterial SSU rRNA
Rfam family: Bacterial small subunit ribosomal RNA
Source: RNAcentral